RNAcentral lists this long non-coding RNA (5793 nucleotides) under Gallus gallus (chicken). The record is from RNAcentral. Lineage: Eukaryota; Metazoa; Chordata; Aves; Galliformes; Phasianidae.
GUAUAACACACCUGUGUUUGCUGUGUUUGAAUUGUGGCUGAGUGGGCUAGCCAGGUGUUGAGGCAACUCAACCCACUGACCCCCUGUGAACAGGGUGGGGCUAGGAGAGAGGUCACAGCUGAGCUGAUGACCCGGGCUAACUGCACUGCCUAAUGCCAUGCUCAGCGAGGAACUGAGAGAAGUAGGGGCUUUGGGAGAUGAGUUAUCUUCAACUAGGAGCUGCCUGGGCACCAAUUAACCCACUGGAGGCAAUGAGUAAGUGCUUUUGCAUUGUUUUAUUUUCUUCCUUUCUCUCACUUCUCCUUUACUUAUGAACCAAUUUUUAUCUCAUCCCAUAUUUUUUCUUGUUUUUACUUCUCCUCUUUGCCUGUCCCACUGUAUGGCUAAGCUGAAGGGAGCAGUCACCUGUGUGGUGCUUAGCUGCCUGCCAGAGUUCACCCACAGCAGAUGUACUGGCAACUUUCUGAUGGCAGUACAACUUCAGUGAUAGCGGGAACAAUUUUUCUGCAGAGAAAGUAGCAUCUCAGAGUUGUUCUGAAUUCCUUUAAUGCUCAGGGAGGAAAAAAAAAAAAGUAUCAAUUUUUGCUAAAGACUCAUGAUUGCCUAUCUUUUGAUAUCAUGCCUACAUGCAGGGGAAAAAAAUAAUAGGAAUGGAAAACACUGAAGUUGGUGCACUCUUGUGGCUUAAGAGGUGGCGUUUUUUUUUCUUGCCCCAGUGCUGGGAUACAAAGAACCCUUCACUUCUCUGUAGGAAUAUUUGUACCUCAGUUUUUGUAAAAGAAUAUGAGUUUGUUUGUUUGAUUUAACAGUUAUGUACAUUGAAGGCUGAAGCACUUCCUCAGCAUUGCGUCUUAGAUAUAGAAAAAAUUCCUUUUCAAUUUUGCACAUUUGAAUUUCAGAUUUGAUUAAGAAGAAAUAGGCGAUAUUUUCAGGAAGGGUCCCACAAGUGUGCUUGGGGGCUCCAAAGAAUUUCUGUUUUCUAUACUUCCGUACUGUAACUUAUGUUUUUCCCUCACCUAUUUUCAGCAUUUGAAACUUGGACAGUUGGCAGUUUGCAGUGCUGUCUGAUGGAAUAGAUACUACCAUGCUGUUACGAGGUGUUAUAGUUCUAUUACUUGAUAGCGGCAGUUUGGUUUUCUUAAAUUACUGGUUGUGUACUUCACCUGAGUUUUAAAAAGGUCAGAUACCAAGUUUAUUCUAUGAAAGGAUCGGAACAGUAUUUGAAGGCAUAUGCACUUGAUUGGUUGCACAGAAUCCUCGCCAUGAAAUCAGAGGAUAAAUGCAUGUCAAAAUGCGAAGGUGUAAAAAUACUGAAAUGAGUUCUUUGUUUUCUGUUCACCAAGAGCAAAAGGUGACAUUUUCUUUUUCUGACCUUUGGGGGUGUGGUUUUUUUUCCACAAAAUGAUUGAAUAUGAUUUUAUAUUAUCACUUGCUGAUAAAACUCCAUUUUUAUAUGCUUAAGUUUCAAUCUGAUCUAUUUCUUUGUCUUUUAAAUGAGAAACAUGCCAAAUAGGAUUGUUUUGGUGCGAAGAUUUCCAUUUAGUUAGGAUGGGGAAAGAGAGUGGGAUAUUUUUAAAUACAGCGUCUUGGAGAUGCCUGCAUCAAGAAUAGAAAACACAUUUUAAAUAUUUUGACAUAGGAGGUCAGACAGAAAGUGUUUCAUUUUAUUGCUUUUAUGUUUCACGUUUAUUUUAUAUGGUCUGUCCCACUUUAAAACUUCUGUAAACAAUAAUUGUUUGUUCUUAACAAUUUGUUAAAUUUUAAAAAUUUGUUCUUAAAACUAGCCACUAUGACAUUUAUUUCUAAUACCAAGAGAAUGCUAUGACAUUGCCAGCUGUGCUUCUUUUUAGUGUAGAAGGCCCCAAACUAUUCAUGAUACUUGUUCUGAAGAUAAAUUAGUGGCUUCUAAAUAAUGCAGUGAACCCUAAUUCUCUUUGAUUAGUAGUGAGUUAGAUGAUAGCGACCCAUUGAAAUUGGUCAUCAGCAUAAAUAAUGAGUGAAUGAACUGAUAAAAUGCAAAGUCACUGGCCAUCAUAAAUCAAAUGAAAUCCACUUUCUCUGGAAGUCACUGAAAUUAGAAGUCCAUGCUCCUAUUAAUUAUUUUGCCUUCUGAAGACGACAGUGUUAUAAAUCAGCCUUGAAAGGCACUUCACUUAGGAAGCUGAAAGAGUAAGACUGCCUGCAAAUUGUUUUGUAUACGCACCUAAUUGUUUCUUAAGUAACCCACCUUUUGUAGUAUGACUGCUGAAAAGUAGAAAGUGCACGCAAAAGUGUAGAUUAAGGAAAGCAACAGAUACUGCUGUAAGAAAAUUAUUUGAUCAGAAUAAUAGCCAUAGCUACUGCAUUGGUCAAUCUGAAGCCGAACCAACUGUUCUUGUUAGGCAGGGUUCCUCCAGUCCAUUUAGAACUGAGGUGAUUCUCAUUUAUUAGCCAGAUAUAAUUACAUUGCAGCAGGAAACUUGUUAAUAAUAAAAAAGUCCGGGGGAAUGGAAAACAAUCAUGCAGACUAGGUUAAAGUUGCACUGUGCAUUUUGUUUAAACAGCAUACUGUAAGAAUUUUCAAUGUCAGGUCAAAAGUUUUUUGCAGAAAAUAUUUUACUUCUAAUUCAUAGAUGAGUUUCGUAGUUUUUAUCUGUCUAUGCCUCUUUCUGUAUGUGUGUAUAAUUAUAUAAGAAUACGUGUAUACAUGAAGACAUUUUUUUAAAGGAGUCUUUGCUCUCUCUGUAAUUGCAAAAAUUCUUGUAAUGUAUUUUAUUCUUCAGGCUUUUUUUUUCAGUUUUUUCUUCCUUGUGCUAGAGCUUCCGUAUAUAUAUCAUUUGAUUAUGCCAAAAAUGUGUCUUCAUUCAUACUGUUAGUCAUUUAAUGAAAUGCAAGUAGACCUGCUGGAAAUCAGAGAAAAGGUGAAUAGUCUCAGAAUUUUAAUAAGAGAAUACAGAACAAUAGGAUUACUGUCUAAGUUGUUAGUUUAUAGUUCCAGUUUUUCAUGUCUUCCCUAAUCUGAACUGUAGAUGAUUGCUGACAUCAUACAGAAAACACCUUGUAAUAGGUAGGUGUGAGAAACUUAAAGGAAAAGGUUAAUAAACCCACAUUCUAUAAAGAAAAAAUAGGGAGAAAAGCAUGUGUGUAUUCAAGAAAAUACGUGUAAAAAUGUAGUAGAUUAAAAGGUUAGAUUUGAUACUAAGCUCUUACCUAAUGUAAGGUCAUCUGAUUUUAUGUCAGUACAUCAUUUGUGUACUAGACAACCAAUUAUGAAGAGUAAGAUAUAUGAAUAUGUAUUCUUCAGGAAUUCCAUUUAUUUGCUUAAAAGAUGUGGCUCUGGGUUGUUUUCAUAGAAAUCUUCUGCAUGAAGAUCACAGAAUAUGUACUAUGCCAGUAUCAUUGUCCGAAUGAGACUAGACUUCUUGUAGACUGGAUGGGAUUGCCUGAUAGGGAGGACUGUCCUAUGAAUUUCCGAACGCUUAUUUAACAUAAGAUCAAAAUGUGUUUCGGGGUUUAUUCGUAAUACGGUAACACUUUCAUUUCUGAAGCCAUGUAACUUGUACUCCUGUUAAGACCUGCACAUUCAAUGCCAUUCUUACUUUAUGCACAGUCAAAAUGAGAGGUUCUGUAUUUCCACUCCCUUAAACACACAGGAUUUUUUUUUUUUUUUUUUAGUGUAUAUUGUUUGGAGUGUUUGGUAAUUGAUAUUUAAUAGGCAAAAAUAAGUGUAUUUUGCUUUAAGUAGUCCAUUUCUCUGAUGCCAAGAUUAAAUAUAGCAAGAAUAAUGUGCUGUUUAAGUGGUAAUUUUGGUCAUCAGUGUAGUACAAGAACUGUUUUCAAAUAGAGAGUUCAUCAGAUUUUUCACUUUAUACUGUGUGCUAAUCCCUUCGGUGGAUAGAGUGGUGAAGAGGUCAGGCCAUUUGAGGUAUUAGAGGUGUGGGGUGCAACAGAACAGCAUCAAUACCCUCCAAAUUGCAGGAGAUUAAAACACAGCUACAGCUGUUGGAAUCAGCAAUGCUAUUAAAUUAUGGACAUAAAGUAAAUAACACAAAUAUUUCCAGAAGUUUUGAGCUAUGUGAGCUGAGGAGGUCAUGAAAAGACUAUGCCUUUUUUUUUUUCUUUUGUUAAGAAUAUGAAGGAAAGCAAACAUAAUGAAGCCACCAGAUUUUUCAAAAGACUUCUGUCUCCUGUGGAAAUUAGAAACAGUUUUCACUAUUUGAAGUUAAAAUAGAUUGAGUGAAAUAUGGAGGAAUGAUGUUUUUAGUGGAUAUAAUAAAAACUUGUUCACUUUCUGACACAGAAUAACUAUUUUUAAUGGUUUUGAAUGCAAUAGUUGCUUAAGUACAUUGUGCAUCGCUGAAUGAAAGGAUAGUUUUAGAAGCUGGAUCAGUUAAAAUUCAUGUUUGUGAAUUUGUUGGCGAACUGUGCUAGUGGGUUUUAGCUUUCACUUUUAUCAUCUAAUAUGUUCCUAGGAUGAUUAUUUAUAAUCUAGUGAUGAUGAGAGGAUGUUAAAACAUGUAAAUUUCUUUUUUUGAGAAAGCACAAGGAACUGUACAUAGGCAGCUACGGCGGUAAUUGAUUUGGUUAUUUUAGAAAUAAACUUACAUUGCAUUAGAUUUGCUUGUACUAAGGUAUUUGAUUUGUGUGUCAGUACUAAUUAGCAAUGGGUGAAUGGAGUCCAGUAGUUACUGCUGAAAAUGUUGAUCCUAAGGUAGGUAGGUAUCCCAUUUAUGUAUUCUCAGAACUGGUCUGGUGUCAAUGUUUCUUAUUUUUGAUUGUCAGUGUUGUUAGUUUUGAAUGCAUUGGCCUGCUGUGAAGGACAUUUUUCUUUAUUUAGGUGUACUUUAGAUGAACUUACAUUCCUGUUUUACAGACUUGUAGAUAAAUUAACAGUCAAAAGAAGUGAAGUUGUCUCUUUACUGAGAAAGCAUUAGUCCUCAUACUGCUUAAAAAGGUACCUCAUUUUAAUUGCAUUGAUCAUUUAGUGAGUGAGACAUAUUACUUAAUAGAGGGUGCUUCUGAAAAGUCUCUGUUGCUUCUGUCAUUUCCACUUAGGAAAGAGAUGAUCCUUGGAAGUAAAUUACUGUCUUAUGCUUUCAUACAAGAUGAUGAAUUUGGUUCUCUUACUAACUUCAAGUACAGUUACUUAAUCUAUGCAGUGGUUUUCAUUGCACGGCAAAUUUGAUAAAUGUUUAAGUGGUUCCAUUUCGUUCUCUGAGAGAAAGACAAUAUAAAGAACAUCUAGAAGAUGGCAAAGACCUACACAGCUCUUCAGGUCAAGAAGAGUAAAUGUUGAUUGAGAGAGGAAAAUGUAAUUUUUUUUUCUCACUAUAGGAGUAAGCUGAAGUGAAUAAUUAAGUUCCAAACUAUAGUAGUAAGCUUUCACCAUAACACUUCACAGAAAAUACUGACAGGUAAAUAAAGCAGAAUCUACUGAAACAUUUUCAGUUGUUGCAUUGAAAAGGUAACGCCUUUCUCAUGGCAACCUGAGCCACUAAUUGUUAACAAUAGUAAUCCUCUUUAUGUGGCAGUGGUAAGUGACUCCAGACCACCAGGUAGUUGGAAAAAAAAAAAGCUCACGUUAUGGCAGAAAAGCCUAUAGGGGUAAUGAAGCAGGCAGUCUUUUUUUUUUUUUUUUUGGUUAAUGUUGAAUUCUGACCAUGAUAACUAAUCUCUAGUUUAGAUUAAAUGUCUACUUUGACUUUUUCAGUGUGUCUGUAAUAUGGAAGUGAGGUCUUCCCUGCUCAGCUUUUUGGCGUGCCUAGUUUUAAGUGUAUAGAUACUUUUGUUUAUUUACCCAGGAUACAGUUUGCU